GCGGAUGGGUGAGUAACGCGUGGGCAACCUGCCUCGAAGACCGGGAUAACAGUUCGAAAGGGCUGCUAAUACCGGAUGUGGUCAAGUGUCAGCAUGGGCAUUUGAUUAAAGGGGAAACCCGUUUCGAGAUGGGCCCGCGUCCUAUCAGCUAGUUGGUGAGGUAAAGGCUCACCAAGGCAAUGACGGGUAGCCGGCCUGAGAGGGUGACCGGCCACACUGGAACUGAGACACGGUCCAGACUCCUACGGGGGGCAGCAGUGGGGA
This 264-nucleotide ribosomal RNA is filed under the name uncultured bacterium. RNAcentral's name for it is "partial 16S ribosomal RNA". It matches the Rfam family "Bacterial small subunit ribosomal RNA", at positions 98 to 360 of the family's 1533-position model. The record is from RNAcentral.